Molecule: long non-coding RNA, 3834 nt
Organism: Astatotilapia calliptera (eastern happy)
Lineage: Eukaryota; Metazoa; Chordata; Actinopteri; Cichliformes; Cichlidae
Source: Ensembl
CAGGACAAGCCCCAGGACAAGAGGGCAGAACACCGGUCCUUUGGAAGCUCGCUUCAUAAGCGGCUACACUGCAGUUACAUGAUGUACAUACAGCCCGGCCUUUUACAGAAAGUACCCUUUUAUUUGAACUGUUGUCUUCUAGCAACUUAAAGAAGUCCAGACGCUUUUCUUUGCAAGCUCCUUUGACUACGAUGACCUGGAUGACUGAGAACCUUCACAGACACACCGCUGUCUUCAUUAUCUUCACGAUUCAAGUUGAGUAAGACAGACAGACUGAGACUAAAAUAAUGUCUGAUCUAAAAUACUACAUGUCACUGUCUGUGACUGUGGGUGUCAUGUUGGUGGGCCUGUCGUACACAAUCUGUUUAGCCUCCCAGUGGAUUUAUGGUUGGCCUGACAAGCCUGGGUAUAAGAAGUACAUAGAAGCUCUUAAUCCAAGGCGAAUAUAUCGUCUCAGCUUUGUUACGCUGGAUCUUCUCAAAUACCUGCGGUAUGCCAGACUUUACUUUCAACUGAAGUCAUGGUAUAACGAUGAGAGGAACCUUAAGUAUUACGAAAAGGGCAUCACAUUUGGUCGCAGAGGCAACAAGCUGGACUUGUACCACCCUCCAAAUGUAGACAAGUUAGAAGAUAUGCCAUCACCAGUUGUAAUAUUUAUCUAUGGAGGUGCUUGGAGUUCAGGAGAAAGGUCCACUUACUGUUUACUGAGCAGGCAGAUGGCUGAAGAACUGAAAGCAACUGUAAUUUGUCCUGAUUACUGCACAUAUCCAAAGGGGAAUGUUUUAGGGAUGGUCCAAGAUAUCGCUGACUGCUUGAUUUGGGUCCACGAGAAUGGAGAGAAAUUCAACUUUGACAAAGUAAGACAGCUUAGUAUUAUUUAAGUAUUCUUUGGAACAUGAAUAAUAAGCUGCCUAUAUCUGUACAAUCAAACAAACCUCCUGAAAUAUAAUUAAUCAAUAACAAUAGCUACCAUGACCCAAAAUACUGACUUUUACAAAUGUUACAUAUUCAUAUACAUGCGCUUUUACAGAUUAAGUAAAUGUUUUAUUUAUUUUGUAGAAUAAUUCUGACAGCUUCUGCAUCAUGUCUUUUCCUAUUUUUAAAUUUUUGACACUGUUUUGGAUUGUGACUGGUGGUUGAAGUGAAGUAAUGUAACUUAUUUAUCAUUAUUUAUUCAACAUAAACUGGAAACAGAUUUUUAGGUCUUGUUUAACCCUCUGAGCAGUAAAAAUCUUCUUUUUGGUGUCGUUUCCACAUGUUGAUUAAAAACCACAUCAUCAUACAGAAGUAGUUUGAAUGAUUUCCCGACCCUAGAAACUGAGCCGUGUGAGGAGGAUUCAGCAAAAUCUCAGGAGGGACACUCAGACCUUUCUCUCCAUGCAAACGGCCCCAGUACAAGCUGGAGACUGUGGUUUGAUAAAGUUAACAGAACCAAAUUAAUCUGACACCGUCCACCCCUUGGCUGUGUCCAAUACCUACUGGUAAUGAUUUAUUGCCAGCAAACCAAACCAAACUCUCGAUAUGGUUGUAAAGGGUUUGGAUAACCUGGGCCAGAUACACCAUACUCCCAAAACAAACCCAAGAAAGACACCAUGAGGAAUGUGGUUGAACAUGGUGAAAUCUCAAAGUUCAUAAAACACUUCUAGGCUAGUUGGGCAAACUCCCACAUUACUUUCAGUCCUCAAGAGAAUAAAGAGCUCUUCUAGUCUUCACAAUCAGGAUCAAAACCACAUUGUUCCUGUAACCAAGGUCCACCUAACUGGCUCUCCUCUCUAAUACCCUGGGACAGUCCUUCCAAGAAGCCUGACGGGUGUGAUCCAGCAAGACAAUUGCAUAACCUGCAAAGCCUUAGGGAAUCAUGGGUGAAUCUCUACCACCAAUGAGUUUUUUUUAACUACAUCAGUGACCUUGCCCUCAUUAAUGUCUGAGUCCUCCUCUUCAUUCCCAAACUCUGCUUUCAGCACCGAAGCAGUCAGUGGGAUUGAGGAGGUCCCACAAGUCAACCAAGCUUCGGACUGCUUCUUCAGCUUGACUGGAUUAAGGGUUAUUCCUGUGACAGGUAUCAGCCACCUUACAGCUGAAACCCUUUACAGCAGCUUCAGCAAUGGUUUUGCAGAGCGUGGUUCACUUGGACUCAGUGUCCUUAGCAUCUCUCAGAAUGUUGUCGAAGUUCUGAAGUUACCCCCAACGUACCUUCACUACACAAAGCGUGUGCAGCAUGCUCCUGCAUCACCUGAUCCUAGUCAUCACCAGGUGAUCAGCUAAUAGCUCAGUUUCCCUCCUCACCUAUACGGCAUGCUGCCACAGAUCUGAUGAUACGAUUACAAAAUAAAUCGCAGCGCGACCUAGGAUGUCCUGGGACUAAGUGCAUAUAUGAAUGCUUUUAUACUCAUUCACAAAUUGUUUGUUAUAAACGUUAAAAAAUACAUAUAUCUAAUCACAUACAGCAUGCUGUUCUGUUUUUUAUAGGAUAACAUUGUAUUAAUUGGGCAUUCAGCAGGUGCACAUUUGUGUACACUCACCACACUGUUUCUUGUUGAUACAAGAGAGGAGCUUUCCAUAGAGCCAGACAAGCAGCAGGAAGUCUUCCUGUUAAUAAGAGGAAUUAUUGGUCUGAGUGGCGUCUACAACACUGUGGAACAUUAUGAACAUGAACAGAAACGAGGAAUCGAAUACCUCUCUGACAUGCACAGAGCAAUGACUGGUGUGGAAAACCUUCCAUUCUACUCACCAACACACUUACUGAAGAAGCUCAGCCAGGACAAAGUCAGCAGAUUGCCUCCAUUCGCCUUGCUCCAUGGGACCAAUGACAUUGUCGUUCCUGCUGAAUCUACCAUGAGAUUCUCUGAGCUUCUCACUUCGCGCUCUGUUAAGUUGUCAUUGAAUCUGCUUCCCAGAGCGAGCCACACUGAUAUCCCCGUUGACCUCAUGGUGUCAAACAGACGCCUCUACCAUCCAAUCUACGGAUACAUCAACGAAGAGUUCAGAAAACUUCUGGGUACUUGCACAUCAUUAGAAAAACAUUCAAAAAUCUGUAAUACAUACUGAAUGAUCCAUACAUUUAUGUUUUAGAUACUUGUUCUUAUACCUCAAAUGAACCAUUUAACUUUGAGUUUGAUUUAACACUUUCUGAGUUAAUAACACUGUCAUUAUAUUUUAACAAUACUGUGAUUGUGUGGGAGAGUUGUUCUCUACGAUGCUUUCAAAUAAAUAAUCACAAAGUAAAAUAAGUUGUGGAGAAAUGUGCGCUAGUAAGAAUUGCACUGAUACACAGUAUUAAAAGUUGAAUACAGUUAACAAAUCUGUAGCUGUUGUUUAAUUAUCAAAUUUGAGAAUUUUCAAGUGUUUUAUUUGAUACUCUAAAAGUACGUGUAUAAUAUAUUGUAACAGCACAUUAAUAACCCAAGUUUUAUUGACAAAUGAAGUACAGUCAUCAUUUUUACACCUACUUGAAAUUAUUAUGCCUAAUAUUCCAAAAUUCAAUGUUGUUACAUCUUGUGAUAGUGUUAAAAUCUAACCCGUCACUCUUUUUGAUAUACAUGUAUUUACAGAGAGCAAAAUAUUUUGGGAAGUCUUGAAUGAUUAGCAAUUUUUGAGCCAGUAUAACUUUGAAACAGUACAUAAAUACCAUCAGAUUUUCACUGCAGAACAAUAGUAACCAUGUUCUGUAAAACUUAAUUGCUUUAAAAUGUUUGAAUUUUGAGCAUUAUUUACAAAAAAUGUGUGUCAAAUGUUUGUACUGCAAGUAGAAUAGAAUAAAACUUUGGUCUGUAUCAACUGUGCAGGAAAUCAAAAUAGUAAGACAAGGGGAAUAAAUAACCAACAAGAGGAAUA